This 235-nucleotide ribosomal RNA is filed under the name uncultured bacterium. RNAcentral's name for it is "partial 16S ribosomal RNA". It matches the Rfam family "Bacterial small subunit ribosomal RNA", at positions 57 to 305 of the family's 1533-position model. The record is from RNAcentral.
GCAAGUCGUACGUGAAAGCUUUCGGGUGAGUAGAGUGGCGGACGGGUGAGUAACGCGUAGGAAUCUAACUAUUAGUGGGGGACAACCUGGUGAAAACCAGGCUAAUACCGCAUGUGCACUACGGGGUAAAGAGGGCUUCGGCUCUUGCUAGUAGAUGAGCCUGCGUCGGAUUAGCUAGUUGGUGGGGUAAGGGCCUACCAAGGCGACGAUCCGUAGCUGGUCUGAGAGGAUGAUC